This 575-nucleotide ribosomal RNA is filed under the name uncultured bacterium. RNAcentral's name for it is "partial 16S ribosomal RNA". It matches the Rfam family "Bacterial small subunit ribosomal RNA", at positions 355 to 923 of the family's 1533-position model. The record is from RNAcentral.
UGGGGAAUUUUGGACAAUGGGCGAAAGCCUGAUCCAGCAAUGCCGCGUGUGUGAAGAAGGCCUUCGGGUUGUAAAGCACUUUUGUCCGGAAAGAAAUCCUUGGCUCUAAUACAGUCGGGGGAUGACGGUACCGGAAGAAUAAGCACCGGCUAACUACGUGCCAGCAGCCGCGGUAAUACGUAGGGUGCAAGCGUUAAUCGGAAUUACUGGGCGUAAAGCGUGCGCAGGCGGUUUGCUAAGACCGAUGUGAAAUCCCCGGGCUCAACCUGGGGAACUGCAUUGGUGACUGGCAGGCUAGAGUAUGGCAGAGGGGGGUAGAAUUCCACGUGUAGCAGUGAAAUGCGUAGAGAUGUGGAGGAAUACCGAUGGCGAAGGCAGCCCCCUGGGCCAAUACUGACGCUCAUGCACGAAAGCGUGGGGAGCAAACAGGAUUAGAUACCCUGGUAGUCCACGCCCUAAACGAUGUCAACUAGUUGUUGGGGAUUCAUUUCCUUAGUAACGUAGCUAACGCGUGAAGUUGACCGCCUGGGGAGUACGGUCGCAAGAUUAAACUCAAAGGAAUUGACGGGGUCAUA